UUUUAUGGAGAGUUUGAUCCUGGCUCAGGAUGAACGCUGGCGGCGUGCCUAAUACAUGCAAGUCGAGCGAACGGACGAGAAGCUUGCUUCUCUGAUGUUAGCGGCGGACGGGUGAGUAACACGUGGAUAACCUACCUAUAAGACUGGGAUAACUUCGGGAAACCGGAGCUAAUACCGGAUAAUAUUUUGAACCGCAUGGUUCAAAAGUGAAAGACGGUCUUGCUGUCACUUAUAGAUGGAUCCGCGCUGCAUUAGCUAGUUGGUAAGGUAACGGCUUACCAAGGCAACGAUGCAUAGCCGACCUGAGAGGGUGAUCGGCCACACUGGAACUGAGACACGGUCCAGACUCCUACGGGAGGCAGCAGUAGGGAAUCUUCCGCAAUGGGCGAAAGCCUGACGGAGCAACGCCGCGUGAGUGAUGAAGGUCUUCGGAUCGUAAAACUCUGUUAUUAGGGAAGAACAUAUGUGUAAGUAACUGUGCACAUC
Molecule: ribosomal RNA, 486 nt
Filed under: Staphylococcus aureus
Lineage: Bacteria; Bacillati; Bacillota; Bacilli; Caryophanales; Staphylococcaceae
Description: bacterial SSU rRNA
Rfam family: Bacterial small subunit ribosomal RNA
Source: RNAcentral